Molecule: ribosomal RNA, 253 nt
Filed under: uncultured bacterium
Lineage: Bacteria
Description: partial 16S ribosomal RNA
Rfam family: Bacterial small subunit ribosomal RNA
Source: RNAcentral
GACAGAGGGUGCAAACGUUGUUCGGAAUUACUGGGCGUAAAGCGCGUGUAGGCGGCCCUGCAAGUCGGAUGUGAAAUCCCACGGCUCAACCGUGGAAGUGCAUUCGAAACUGCAGGGCUAGAGUCCUGGAGAGGAAGGUGGAAUGCUUGGUGUAGAGGUGGAAUGCGCAGAUAUCAGGAGGAACACCAAUAGCGAAGGCAGCUCGCUGGGACGUUACUGACACUGAGGCGCGAAAGCGUGGGGAGCGAACAGG